CAGGUGCAGGACCAGGUACCGGACCAGGUACAGGACCAGGUACCAGACCAGGAAGUGAUGUAGACAAACACUCAGGACCAGGUACUGGACCAGGUACCAGACCGGGUACAGGACCAGGUACUGGACCAGGUACCAGACCAGAGCCUGACAACAACCUGGCUGUUCACCGACUGAAGCGUGGGAUCGGUGAGUCAGCAGAAACUUUUCUUUCAAUGAUCAAAACGUGCUGCCAUGACCACAUGUAGUGGUGUCCUUGAGCCAGGGUUACAUUUAAAAACAAGCUGGUAUCCUCCACUGCCGUGUGAUGUUCACCAGCUGAAGCAGGAAGUGCUCAUAGCCUUUCUGUCUGCUAUCAGUUUGGCUAACGCUGGUCUGGUUAGCAGUGGUUUAUGCUUUUUUCUUUGGCAAAAAGUUUUUUUUUUUGGCUAACGGCAUUUUAUUGGCUAAAAGUGUUUUAAUUUUUUCUUUUCU
This is a long non-coding RNA of Austrofundulus limnaeus, 471 nucleotides long. RefSeq lists it as uncharacterized. The record is from RefSeq and is a predicted model, not a curated record. The transcript has 3 exons. Lineage: Eukaryota; Metazoa; Chordata; Actinopteri; Cyprinodontiformes; Rivulidae.